This 497-nucleotide ribosomal RNA is filed under the name uncultured bacterium. RNAcentral's name for it is "partial 16S ribosomal RNA". It matches the Rfam family "Bacterial small subunit ribosomal RNA", at positions 28 to 507 of the family's 1533-position model. The record is from RNAcentral.
GAUGAACGCUGGCGGCGUGCCUAAUACAUGCAAGUCGAGCGAACGGACGAGAAGCUUGCUUCUCUGAUGUUAGCGGCGGACGGGUGAGUAACACGUGGAUAACCUACCUAUAAGACUGGGAUAACUUCGGGAAACCGGAGCUAAUACCGGAUAAUAUUUUGAACCGCAGGGUUCAAAAGUGAAAGACGGCUUUCCUGUCACUAAUAGAUGAUCCCCCGCUGCAUUAGCUAGUUGGUAAGGUAACGGCUUACCAAGGCAACGAUGCAUAGCCGACCUGAGAGGGUGAUCGGCCACACUGGAACUGAGACACGGUCCAGACUCCUACGGGAGGCAGCAGUAGGGAAUCUUCCGCAAUGGGCGAAAGCCUGACGGAGCAACGCCGCGUGAGUGAUGAAGGUCUUCGGAUCGUAAAACUCUGUUAUUAGGGAAGAACAUAUGUGUAAGUAACUGUGCACAUCUUGACGGUACCUAAUCAGAAAGCCACGGCUAACUACGUG